This 546-nucleotide ribosomal RNA is filed under the name uncultured Methylobacterium sp. RNAcentral describes it as "bacterial SSU rRNA". It matches the Rfam family "Bacterial small subunit ribosomal RNA", at positions 352 to 922 of the family's 1533-position model. Lineage: Bacteria; Pseudomonadati; Pseudomonadota; Alphaproteobacteria; Hyphomicrobiales; Methylobacteriaceae. The record is from RNAcentral.
CACCAAUGACUCUUCGGGCGCAAGCGUGAUCCAGCCAUGCCGCGUGAGUGAUGAAGGCCUUAGGGUUGUAAAGCUCUUUUGUCCGGGACGAUAAUGACGGUACCGGAAGAAUAAGCCCCGGCUAACUUCGUGCCAGCAGCCGCGGUAAUACGAAGGGGGCUAGCGUUGCUCGGAAUCACUGGGCGUAAAGGGCGCGUAGGCGGCUUUUUAAGUCGGGGGUGAAAGCCUGUGGCUCAACUCCAGAAUUGCCUUCGAUACUGGUUGGCUUGAAUCCGGAAGAGGACAGUGGAACUGCGAGUGUAGAGGUGAAAUUCGUAGAUAUUCGCAAGAACACCAGUGGCGAAGGCGGCUGACUGGUCCGGUUCUGACGCUGAGGCGCGAAAGCGUGGGGAGCAAACAGGAUUAGAUACCCUGGUAGUCCACGCCGUAAACGAUGAUGGCCAGCCGUUGGGUUACUUGCAGGUCAGGGGGGCCGCUAACGCAUUAAGCUUUUCGCCUGGGGAGUACGGUCGCAAGAUUAAAACUCAAAUGAAUUGACGGGGGAAU